Molecule: transfer RNA, 85 nt
Filed under: Felis catus (domestic cat)
Lineage: Eukaryota; Metazoa; Chordata; Mammalia; Carnivora; Felidae
Rfam family: tRNA
About the family: Transfer RNA (tRNA) molecules are approximately 80 nucleotides in length. Their secondary structure includes four short double-helical elements and three loops (D, anti-codon, and T loops). Further hydrogen bonds mediate the characteristic L-shaped molecular structure. tRNAs have two regions of fundamental functional importance: the anti-codon, which is responsible for specific mRNA codon recognition, and the 3' end, to which the tRNAs corresponding amino acid is attached (by aminoacyl-tRNA synthetases). tRNAs cope with the degeneracy of the genetic code in two manners: having more than one tRNA (with a specific anti-codon) for a particular amino acid; and 'wobble' base-pairing, i.e. permitting non-standard base-pairing at the 3rd anti-codon position.
Source: Rfam by way of RNAcentral
ACCUGAGUGGCUCAGUCAGUUGAGCCUCUGACUUCAGCUCAGGUCACGAUCUCACGGUUCGUGGGUUCGAGCCCCGCAUCGGGCU